GAUACUGUCUUGCUUGAGGAUGGGAGAGGUUAGUGGAAUCCCAGUGUAGAGGUGAAAUUCGUAGAGAUUGGGAAGAACACCAGUGGCGAAGGCGACUGACUGGACCAUAACUGACGCUGAGGCACGAAAGUGUGGGGAUCAAACAGGAUUAGAUACCCUGGUAGUCCACACCGUAAACGAUGUAUGCUAGACGCUGGAUGGCUUAGCCAUUCUGUGUCGCCGCUAACGCAUUAAGCAUACCGCCUGGGGAGUACGGCCGCAAGGUUGAAACUCAAAGAAAUUGACGGGGGCCCGCACAAGCGGUGGAGUAUGUGGUUUAAUUCGACGCAACGCGAAGAACCUUACCAAGAUUUGACAUGGGAAGUAUGGGCCUCUGAAAGGAGGCUCUUCAGUUCGGCUGGCUUCCACACAGGUGCUGCAUGGCUGUCGUCAGCUCGUGUCGUGAGAUGUUGGGUUAAAGUCCCGGCAACGAGCGCAACCCUUGCCACUAAUUGCCAUCAGUGAGUUGGGCACUUUAGUGGGACUGCCGGUGACAAACCGGAGGAAGGUGGGGAUGACGUCAAGUCCUCAUGGCCCUUAUGGGUAGGGCUUCACACGUCAUACAAUGGCGCGCACAGAGGGCUGCGAACCCGCGAGGGGGAGCCAAUCCUUGAAGACGCGUCGUAGUCCGGAUUGCAGUCUGCAACUCGACUGCAUGAAGUCGGAAUCGCUAGUAAUCGCGGAUCAGCAUGUC
This 733-nucleotide ribosomal RNA is filed under the name uncultured Alphaproteobacteria bacterium. RNAcentral describes it as "bacterial SSU rRNA". It matches the Rfam family "Bacterial small subunit ribosomal RNA", at positions 629 to 1358 of the family's 1533-position model. Lineage: Bacteria; Pseudomonadati; Pseudomonadota; Alphaproteobacteria. The record is from RNAcentral.